UCAACAACGGAUCUCUUGGUUCUGGCAUCGAUGAAGAACGCAGCGAAAUGCGAUAAGUAAUGUGAAUUGCAGAAUUCAGUGAAUCAUCGAAUCUUUGAACGCACAUUGCGCCCUUUGGUAUUCCGAAGGGCAUGCCUGUUCGAGCGU
RNAcentral lists this ribosomal RNA (147 nucleotides) under Septoria lamii. RNAcentral describes it as "5.8S ribosomal RNA". It matches the Rfam family "5.8S ribosomal RNA". From Rfam's summary of the family: 5.8S ribosomal RNA (5.8S rRNA) is a component of the large subunit of the eukaryotic ribosome. It is transcribed by RNA polymerase I as part of the 45S precursor that also contains 18S and 28S rRNA. Functionally, it is thought that 5.8S rRNA may be involved in ribosome translocation. Lineage: Eukaryota; Fungi; Ascomycota; Dothideomycetes; Mycosphaerellales; Mycosphaerellaceae. The record is from RNAcentral.